GGCAGCGGAAAACUACUCGGCCCAUCUGGGUUACUUGUUUGGUAUCUUAUUCUGAGAUUCAGAAAUGCCGCGACCUGGGAUGAAAACCCAAGUCAGCCCUUGCUAAAGAGAACAAAGCAGGGAAGGGAGCACUGACCCAUGAGCUCAGAGGUUGCUGUAGACAGUCAAGCCCAAGUUCUCAAGAGAUGCUGCAGAACUUACUCUCCAUCAUCUCUCAGUUUCAUUCUUCUGCAAAUGAUCCUCACCCGCAGGUACCACAUAGCCACCAGCAGCCCAUGCUGACUCUGGGAGUGCAGAGGCGAGACUCUCUGUUCCAGUGUCCCUGGGAACCCCAGGUCGACUCUCACUAACCCCACUUUAGACAAGUUCUCAUCAGCCUCAUCUCUUCAAACUUGCAGUAGCUUUCAGGGGGCAUCAUGGUCAAGUCACUUUAAUCCACAAGGAGGAAGAGGAAAGUAAGGGAUGGGAUGGUUAACUUACAUGCCAUUCAUCUUGGCCCAGAUACUGUUGCUAAUGUACUUGUGACAGUGCUUCUUGUAUCAGAAGACUGAAUGGCAAAUGUCUUGUUCCCAACCUGAGAAGACACCCCCCAAAUAGCUUGAACUGGGAUAAUCAUCUUUUGUUGCAAUGUGGAAGAUGCUUGACUAUACUCUGGCUGAGCUGAAGGAGUCACAAAUCAUCUUCUCUUGUUCACUGGAGAUUUUCAUCUUUGGAUCUCUAGCCUCUGUAAUGUAGACUACUGACCCCCAUAAGUCAUAAACAUUUGAAUUUGGGCCGCAUUGCAUUGUUGGGUGUGCUGUGUGUCCAGCUAAGUGAUGGUUUGCAGUGGGACCUCCUAUCCUGCAUCAUCACAUGAGUCACAUCUUAAAAUGUGCCUUGUCUUAUGUGCUUGCAUGUGGGUGAAAGAUUCUUUUUCUCUGAAGACCCAUGACCACACAGGGGGAUUCCCAGAAUGAAGUGAUGUAGGGACAUAAAGGAGCACAACAGUAUCACCCCCACCUGGAAACUGUAUGUGUGUGUGGGAAAGUCACCACAGACACAGUUACAAACACGUAGUCCAGUGAAGCGGAAAGAGAACACAUGACAUUCAUAAAUUAUCACUGAUUAAUUUUAAUUGCCUAAACACAAAAAGAGAAGACAAAUAGGGCGGCCAAGGUGGUAUUAAAGUACUUGAACUAGAAAUCCAUUUCUUGUGAGUCAGCAGAAUUGCCAAGCAUAGUAGCAUUGUGGGGGCACUUCCAGAGGAGGAGGAAUGUAAUUCCUAACACAAAAUGAAGAGUAUUCAUUCUGACUAAACAGCAAACACUGCUGUUUGAGCGUAAUUACUGCAACCUUGAGCAUCUGCCAUCAGUGAGCGUCCUCCCUGCCCUCUGUAUCCAUGGCAACCUCUUUGUUUGAGAUGGUAAUACACUUUGCCCUGGAUGUUUCUAAUAAUGGAGUUUAAAUUGGUGGCUACAGAUGCUAUAAUUUUCAGUAGGUUGUUAUCCUUGAGUGGAAGUUUGAAGAAUCCAUUCAAGACACAUUGCAGGAUCUCUGCAGGAAGGCGGCUGAGACUGCAGAUGCCCCGAUUUUAAGUUGGCUUGCACUCCAGCCCCUCCCCCACGCUUUCAUUCUCCAUGCUGCUGAGAGAGCUGUCUUUCUCCUACAUCAGUCCAAUCACAUGUUCCUUCCUUAAAACCACCUGAUGGAUGGCUGGCAGUUGCCAGCAGACUCAGGUAAAGUCUGGAAUCUUAAGUGGGAGGAGUUAGCAGCUUUCAUUUCUUGGCUCUAUUUUCCCCACUCCCACUUUUGCUGUAGACAUAAGAAUGCCUGCUGUUCAAAAAACAAAAAACCAAAAGACAAAAACCCAAAACAACAACAACAACAACAAAGACUGCCUGCUGUGUCCCUGACUGUUCAGCUAUGUAUGCCUCUGAGCUUUUCUGGUACCGUUCCUCCAGCUCACAUGCCCCUUCCCCAUCUUUUGUAUAUGUAACCAGCCCUGCUUAGGUUGCGGCCCUUUUUCCCUUAAAGUCUUCUAGAACCUCA
Long non-coding RNA from Mesocricetus auratus (golden hamster), 2028 nucleotides. RefSeq lists it as uncharacterized. Lineage: Eukaryota; Metazoa; Chordata; Mammalia; Rodentia; Cricetidae. The transcript is spliced from 2 exons. The record is from RefSeq and is a predicted model, not a curated record.